Molecule: ribosomal RNA, 451 nt
Filed under: uncultured bacterium
Lineage: Bacteria
Description: partial 16S ribosomal RNA
Rfam family: Bacterial small subunit ribosomal RNA
Source: RNAcentral
GUGGGGAAUAUUGCGCAAUGGGGGAAACCCUGACGCAGCGACGCCGUGUGAGGGAAGAAGGCUUUCGGGUCGUAAACCUCUGUCAGAAAGGAAGAACCUCCCAAGUCCGAAUAGGGCUUGGGACUGACGGUACUUUCAAAGGAAGCACCGGCUAACUCCGUGCCAGCAGCCGCGGUAAUACGGAGGGUGCAAGCGUUAAUCGGAAUCACUGGGCGUAAAGCGCGCGUAGGCCGCUUUGUAAGUCGGACGUGAAAGCCCUCGGCUCAACCGGGGAACUGCGUUCGAUACUGCGAGGCUUGAGUCCUGGAGAGGGUGGCGGAAUUCCGGGUGUAGGAGUGAAAUCCGUAGAUAUCCGGAGGACCACCGGUGGCGAAGGCGGCCACCUGGACAGGUACUGACGCUGAGGCGCGAAAGCGUGGGGAGCAAACAGGAUUAGAAACCCGGGUAGUCC